This 222-nucleotide long non-coding RNA is filed under the name Homo sapiens (human). Its description in RNAcentral is "HSALNT0192832". Lineage: Eukaryota; Metazoa; Chordata; Mammalia; Primates; Hominidae. The record is from RNAcentral.
CCAUGCCUCUUGUGUCCUGCAGAACUAUGAGCCAAGUGCAUAAGAUCCCAGUUGCAACAGAUGACGCACUCAAGCUGAAGAUAAUUUAAUAAAAGGAUUACUUACAAAGCAGUUUGAAACAACAACAAAAAAGGGAUAGUAACUCUAGGAAGCUGGUAUCACCAGGAAACCUGAAUGGGCGAGAGAAGGGAGCAAAUCAGAAACCAAAGACAACAGCACGAA